GUUCUGGCUCAACGCCCAGGUUCUGCUCACCUGACCAAUUCCGGGAGCUACCAAUCAUUCCACCCCAGGGCUCUCCUCCUUUCCUCCCACAACCACCACCCCACUUUUCCUCUCCAGGAUGCAGACAGCCCCCACAGAGGGCAGAGAACUCAGGAAACAGGCUCUCUUUCCUUUGCCAGAAAACAUGACCCUGAGAGGAAAUUCAGCUCCUCAUAAUGAUCAGCUUCACCAGGGUUCUGUGGUGAUUAUGACAAGGCGAAGAAGAGUUCUGGGAGCAUCACAUAUGAAAGGACGUUAUGACCAGCCCUGGGCCUGACAAGUACAAACCGAUACCUUGAAUCAUCACCUCUUCUCAGGAUUGAAUUUCACCCACUAAGGUGCUGGUUAAUCACACAGCAGUUAGGCCUUCGUGGACCACGUCACAGCUCCCUUGUAGCCUGUGUUUAACCACAGCAUCUUAGGAUAGGCAAGUUCUGGUCCAAGUCUCUGUAUCAAGGCAAGAUCACAUCUUUGUGUGAAGAAAUUAAUAACCUUAGAUUUUUGUUCCCCAGAACCUUUUUAAAUUAAAAAAAACAAAAGCAUUGAGGCCUUUGAUUUUUACAUUCCAGUCAUUUAUGGAAAUCAUUCCUUAGAAAUAUUUUUUUUUCUCCUUAUAACAAAGAAAAAUAACUAAGCAAAGACACUCAGCACAGUGACCAUGACUGGCAACAUACAAAACACUGUGCCUUAAUAAUCCCCUACUAACUUGUUUUCCCAGAUCUUAGUACAGUGCUUGGCACACAGUAAGCACUAAAUAAAAGUUUGUUGAAUUGAGUAUGAAUUAAAUUU
This 828-nucleotide long non-coding RNA is filed under the name Phascolarctos cinereus (koala). RNAcentral describes it as "lncRNA (ENSPCIG00000033680.1)". Lineage: Eukaryota; Metazoa; Chordata; Mammalia; Diprotodontia; Phascolarctidae. The record is from RNAcentral.